AGUGAACGCUGGCGGCAGGCCUAACACAUGCAAGUCGAGCGGAUGAAGGGAGCCUGCUCCUGGAUUCAGCGGCGGACGGGUGAGUAAUGCCUAGGAAUCUGCCUGGUAGUGGGGGAUAACGUCCGGAAACGGGCGCUAAUACCGCAUACGUCCUGAGGGAGAAAGUGGGGGAUCUUCGGACCUCACGCUAUCAGAUGAGCCUAGGUCGGAUUAGCUAGUUGGUGGGGUAAAGGCCUACCAAGGCGACGAUCCGUAACUGGUCUGAGAGGAUGAUCAGUCACACUGGAACUGAGACACGGUCCAGACUCCUACGGGAGGCAGCAGUGGGGAAUAUUGGACAAUGGGCGAAAGCCUGAUCCAGCCAUGCCGCGUGUGUGAAGAAGGUCUUCGGAUUGUAAAGCACUUUAAGUUGGGAGGAAGGGCAGUAAGUUAAUACCUUGCUGUUUUGACGUUACCAACAGAAUAAGCACCGGCUAACUUCGUG
This 484-nucleotide ribosomal RNA is filed under the name uncultured bacterium. Its description in RNAcentral is "partial 16S ribosomal RNA". It matches the Rfam family "Bacterial small subunit ribosomal RNA", at positions 29 to 507 of the family's 1533-position model. The record is from RNAcentral.